UGGGGAAUAUUGGGCAAUGGGCGCAAGCCUGACCCAGCAACGCCGCGUGAAGGAAGAAGGCCCUCGGGUUGUAAACUUCUUUUAACAGGGACGAAACAAAUGACGGUACCUGUUGAAUAAGCCACGGCUAACUACGUGCC
RNAcentral lists this ribosomal RNA (140 nucleotides) under uncultured bacterium. Its description in RNAcentral is "partial 16S ribosomal RNA". It matches the Rfam family "Bacterial small subunit ribosomal RNA", at positions 355 to 509 of the family's 1533-position model. The record is from RNAcentral.